UGAGGAAUAUUGGUCAAUGGGCGCAAGCCUGAACCAGCCAUGCCGCGUGAAGGAAGAAGGAUCUAUGGUUUGUAAACUUCUUUUAUUUAGGAAUAAACUCUCGGACGAGUCCGAGCCUGAAGGUACUAAAUGAAUAAGCACCGGCUAACUCCGUGCCAGCAGCCGCGGUAAUACGGAGGGUGCAAGCGUUAUCCGGAAUCAUUGGGUUUAAAGGGUCCGCAGGCGGUCUUAUAAGUCAGUGGUGAAAUCUCGUAGCUUAACUAUGAAACUGCCAUUGAUACUGUAGGACUUGAAUUCGGUCGAAGUGGGCGGAAUAUGACAUGUAGCGGUGAAAUGCGUAGAUAUGUCAUAGAACACCGAUAGCGAAGGCAGCUCACUAGGCCUGGAUUGACGCUCAGGG
Molecule: ribosomal RNA, 400 nt
Filed under: uncultured bacterium
Lineage: Bacteria
Description: bacterial SSU rRNA
Rfam family: Bacterial small subunit ribosomal RNA
Source: RNAcentral